This 402-nucleotide ribosomal RNA is filed under the name uncultured Lachnospiraceae bacterium. RNAcentral's name for it is "bacterial SSU rRNA". It matches the Rfam family "Bacterial small subunit ribosomal RNA", at positions 355 to 774 of the family's 1533-position model. Lineage: Bacteria; Bacillati; Bacillota; Clostridia; Lachnospirales; Lachnospiraceae. The record is from RNAcentral.
UGGGGAAUAUUGCACAAUGGGGGAAACCCUGAUGCAGCAACGCCGCGUGAGUGAAGAAGUCAUUCGUGAUGUAAAGCUCUAUCAGCAGGGAAGAAAAUGACGGUACCUGAGUAAGAAGCCCCGGCUAACUACGUGCCAGCAGCCGCGGUAAUACGUAGGGGGCAAGCGUUAUCCGGAUUUACUGGGUGUAAAGGGAGCGUAGACGGCCAGACAAGUCUGAAGUGAAAAUCCAGCGCUUAACGCUGGAAGUGCUUUGGAAACUGCCGGGCUGGAGUGCAGGAGGGGCAGGCGGAAUUCCUAGUGUAGCGGUGAAAUGCGUAGAUAUUAGGAGGAACACCAGUGGCGAAGGCGGCCUGCUGGACUGCAACUGACGUUGAGGCUCGAAGGCGUGGGGAGCAAACA